GGAGGUGUAGUUCAGUGGUAGAGUGCUUGCCUGGCAUGCUCUAGGCCCUGGGUUUGAUCCCCAGCACCACAA
Molecule: transfer RNA, 72 nt
Filed under: Ictidomys tridecemlineatus (thirteen-lined ground squirrel)
Lineage: Eukaryota; Metazoa; Chordata; Mammalia; Rodentia; Sciuridae
Description: Spermophilus tridecemlineatus (thirteen-lined ground squirrel) tRNA
Rfam family: tRNA
About the family: Transfer RNA (tRNA) molecules are approximately 80 nucleotides in length. Their secondary structure includes four short double-helical elements and three loops (D, anti-codon, and T loops).
Source: Rfam by way of RNAcentral